GACGAACGCUGGCGGCGUGCUUAACACAUGCAAGUCGAACGGAAAGGCCCUGCUUUUGUGGGGUGCUCGAGUGGCGAACGGGUGAGUAACACGUGAGUAACCUGCCCUUGACUUCGGGAUAACUUCAGGAAACUGGGGCUAAUACCGGAUAGGAGCUCCUGCUGCAUGGUGGGGGUUGGAAAGUUUCGGCGGUUGGGGAUGGACUCGCGGCUUAUCAGCUUGUUGGUGGGGUGGCUUACCAAGGCUUUGACGGGUAGCCGGCCUGAGAGGGUGACCGGCCACAUUGGGACUGAGAUACGGCCCAGACUCCUACGGGAGGCAGCAGUGGGGAAUAUUGCACAAUGGGCGGAAGCCUGAUGCAGCAACGCCGCGUGCGGGAUGACGGCCUUCGGGUUGUAAACCGCUUUCGCCUGUGACGAAGCGUGAGUGACGGUAAUGGGUAAAGAAGCACCGGCUAACUACGUG
Molecule: ribosomal RNA, 465 nt
Filed under: uncultured bacterium
Lineage: Bacteria
Description: partial 16S ribosomal RNA
Rfam family: Bacterial small subunit ribosomal RNA
Source: RNAcentral